Molecule: ribosomal RNA, 510 nt
Filed under: Stylocellus sp. Borneo 12
Lineage: Eukaryota; Metazoa; Arthropoda; Arachnida; Opiliones; Stylocellidae
Description: SSU rRNA
Rfam family: Eukaryotic small subunit ribosomal RNA
Source: RNAcentral
UCAUAUGCUUGUCUCAAAGACUAAGCCAUGCAAGUCUAAGUACAUGCCGUAUUAAGGUGAAACCGCGAAUGGCUCAUUAAAUCAGUUAUGGUUCCUUAGAUCGUACUUUUCUACUUGGAUAACUGUGGCAAUUCUAGAGCUAAUACAUGCAGCAGAGCUCCGACCUUCGGGGACGAGCGCUUUUAUUAGACCAAGACCAAUCGGACCUCGGUCCGUAUGCCACGGCGACUCUGGAUAACUUUGGGCUGAUCGCACGAUCUCGCAUCGGCGAUAUUUCUUUCAAGUGUCUGACUUAUCAACUUUCGAUGGUAGUCUAUGCGCCUACCAUGGUCGUAACGGGUAACGGGGAAUCAGGGUUCGAUUCCGGAGAGGGAGCCUGAGAAACGGCUACCACAUCCAAGGAAGGCAGCAGGCGCGCAAAUUACCCACUCCCGGCACGGGGAGGUAGUGACGAAAAAUAACAAUACGGGACUCUCUUGAGGCCCCGUAAUUGGAAUGAGUACACUCUAA